RNAcentral lists this long non-coding RNA (821 nucleotides) under Salmo salar (Atlantic salmon). Its description in RNAcentral is "lncRNA (ENSSSAG00000103578.1)". The record is from RNAcentral. Lineage: Eukaryota; Metazoa; Chordata; Actinopteri; Salmoniformes; Salmonidae.
UUAGAAUGUUCUAAUAAUUGUAACAUGUCGAACAGCAUGACAAUGUUUUAAGUAUAGGGGGUAGAUCAGCUUUAAUAUUGCAGACAGAUUGAGGGUUCUAUCAAUGUAAUUGUUUGCAUCCUUUUUAUUUUUGUUUCAAACAAAUUAGCAAUUUUGAUCCCAAUGUCACACAUUAGCCCCAUUAUUUAUAGAAAGACCCAUAAGGGCAGUUAACAUGCAAACACAUACACACAUGGCAGUAAAAACACAUGGCAUGCCCCCCACCCCACAUACACUGCAACCACAUCGUUGUUUGUGUGGUUUAGGCUCGGACCACCGUUAUUUGUGUGGUUUAGGCCCGGACUCAGCAAAGCAUGCUGAGCAUCUGGUAAAUGCCUCUUAGGUCGCAAGAUGGGGCUUGGGCUGGUGUAUUAGUGGGGGUUGGGCCUAUUGCUCUGCUCACGGUUUGGGAAUACUGUAUUUGUGGCUGUCAUGUUGAGGACCUUGCAUACAUGAAGGGAAUGGUUAGUGAGAAAGUCCAUAUUGCAAAUGUACGCUCCCUUACUAGACGUCCGACUACGUCCGAUAAAUCCGCGGACGGCGUCGGGCCGCUCACAGGGUCCGGAUCUUCCAGGAAGUCAUCGAACGGAGUCUCUCGCACCUUCUGUUUCCGUUUAAUAACAUUUUCAAAUUUUGGUCAUUUCUUUGCAGUUCCGGAUUAUUCCACGGGAGGGCGAAUGGAAUCAUAUUGCAAACGUAACAUAUAUCACCAAUCACGACACGGCUUUUUCUCCUAAACGGAAAAGAAUUCGAAGACGAAACUAGGUCUGCGUGGGUUUGGC